CACUGAGCAGGUCGAGUUGUUUCUUAGCUUCCCAAAGAGCUGGAAGCAAGAUGCUGUGGGGCCCAACUCUCCCUUUGGAAAGAAGCCUGCACGUUGUGCCUUUCAGCUCUAGGGCAAAGUAGCACACCCAGAGCAGAAGUCCUACUUCAGCCAGAUCAGGCCUGCAAAGAAACUGCGUUUCACAGGGCUUUGGAAGAGAUGUUCCCGGUAGGCUGUAAGAGCACUGUGCAGAGCGAGUUGUUUCUUAGCUUCCCAAAGAGCUGGAAGCAAGAUGCUGUGGGGCCCAACUCGCCCUUUGGAAAGAAGCCUGCACGUUGUGCCUUUCAGCUCUAGGGCAAUGUAGCACACCCAGAGCAGAAGUCCUACUUCAGCCAGAUCAGGCCUGCAAAGAAACUGCGUUUCACAGGCCUUUGGAAGAGAUGUUCCCGGUAGGCUGUAAGAGCACUGAGCAGAGCGAGUUGUUUCUUAGCUUCCCAAAGAGCUGGAAGCAAGAUGCUGUGGGGCCCAACACGCCCUUUGGAAAGAAGCCUGCACGGUGUUCCUUUCAGCUCUAGGGCAAUGUAGCACUCCCAGAGCAGAAGUCCUACUUCAGCCAGAUCAGGCCUGCAAAGAAACUGCGUUUCACAGGCCUUUGAUAGAGAUGUUCCCGGUAGGCUGUAAGAGCACUGUGCAGAGCGAGUUGUUUCUUAGCUUCCCAAAGAGCUGGAAGCAAGAUGCUGUGGGGCCCAACUCGCCCUUUGGAAAGAAGCCUGCACGGUGUGCCUUUCAGCUCUAGGGCAAAGUAGCACACCCAGAGCAGAAGUCCUACUUUAGCCAGAUGAGGCCUGCAAAGAGACUGCGUUUCACAGGCAUUUGGAAGUGAUGUUCCCGGUAGGCUGUAAGAGCACUGUGCAGAGCGAGUUGUUUCUUAGCUUCCCAAAGAGCUGGAAGCAAGAUGCUGUGGGGCCCAACUCGCCCUUUGGAAAGAAGCCUGCACGUUGUGCCUUUCAGCUCUAGGGCAAAGUAGCACACCCAGAGCAGAAGUCCUACUUCAGCCAGAUCAGGCCUGCAAAGAAACUGCGUUUCACAGGCCUUUGGAAGAGAUGUUCCCGGUAGGCUGUAAGAGCACUGUGCAGAGCGAGUUGUUUCUUAGCUUCCCAAAGAGCUGGAAGCAAGAUGCUGUGGGGCCCAACUCGCCCUUUGGAAAGAAGCCUGCACGUUGUGCCUUUCAGCUCUAGGGCAAUGUAGCACACCCAGAGCAGAAGUCCUACUUCAGCCAGAUCAGGCCUGCAAAGAAACUGCGUUUCACAGGCCUUUGGAAGAGAUGUUCCCGGUAGGCUGUAAGAGCACUGUGCAGAGCGAGUUGUUUCUUAGCUUCCCAAAGAGCUGGAAGCAAGAUGCUGUGGGGCCCAACUCGCCCUUUGGAAAGAAGCCUGCACGGUGUGCCUUUCAGCUCUAGGGCAAAGUAGCACACCCAGAGCAGAAGUCCUACUUCAGCCAGAUCAGGCCUGCAAAGAAACUGCGUUUCACAGGCCUUUGGAAGAGAUGUUCCCGGUAGGCUGUAAGAGCACUGUGCAGAGCGAGUUGUUUCUUAGCUUCCCAAAGAGCUGGAAGCAAGAUGCUGUGGGGCCCAACUCGCCCUUUGGAAAGAAGCCUGCACGGUGUUCCUUUCAGCUCUAGGGCAGUGUAGCACUCCCAGAGCAGAAGUCCUACUUCAGCCAGAUCAGGCCUGCAAAGAAACUGCGUUUCACAGGCCUUUGGGAGAGAUGUUCCCGGUAGGCUGUAAGAGCACUGUGCAGAGCGAGUUGUUUCUUAGCUUCCCAAAGAGCUGGAAGCAAGAUGCUGUGGGGCCCAACUCGCCCUUUUUAAAGAAGCCUGCACGGUGUUCCUUUCAGCUCUAGGGCCGUGUAGCACUCCCAGAGCAGAAGUCCUACUUCAGCCAGAUCAGGCCUGCAAAGAAACUGCGUUUCACAGGCCUUUGGAAGAGAUGUUCCCGGUAGGCUGUAAGAGCACUGUGCAGAGCGAGUUGUUUCUUAGCUUCCCAAAGAGCUGGAAGCAAGAUGCUGUGGGGCCCAACUCGCCCUUUGGAAAGAAGCCUGCACGUUGUGCCUUUCAGCUCUAGGGCAAAGUAGCACACCCAGAGCAGAAGUCCUACUUCAGCCAGAUCAGGCCUGCAAAGAAACUGCGUUUCACAGGCCUUUGGAAGAGAAGUUCCCGGUAGGCUGUAAGAGCACUGAGCAGAGCGAGUUGUUUCUUAGCUUCCCAAAGAGCUGGAAGCAAGAUGCUGUGGGGCCCAACUCGCCCUUUGGAAAGAAGCCUGCACAUUGUUCCUUUCAGCUCUAGGGCAAUGUAGCACACCCAGAGCAGAAGUCCUACUUCAGGCAGAUCAGGCCUGCAAAGAAACUGCGUUUCACAGGCCUUUGGAAGAGAUGUUCCCACUAGGCUGUAAGAGCACUGAGCAGAGCGAGUUGUUUCUUAGCUUCCCAAAGAGCUGGAAGCAAGAUGCUGUGGGGCACAACUCGCCCUUUGGAAAGAAGCCUGCACGGUGUUCCUUUCAGCUCUAGGGCAAUGUAGCACUCCCAGAGCAGAAGUCCUACUUCAGCCAGAUCAGGCCUGCAAAGAAACUUCGUUUCACAGGCCUUUGGAAGAGAUGUUCCCGGUAGGCUGUAAGAGCACUGUGCAGAGCGAGUUGUUUCUUAGCUUCCCAAAGAGCUGGAGGAAGAUGCUGUGGGGCCCAAAUCGCCCUUUGGAAAGAAGCCUGCAUGGUGUGCCUUUCAGCUCUAGGGCAAUGUAGCACACCCAGAGCAGAAGUCCUACUUCAGCCAGAUCAGGCCUGCAAAGAAACUGCGUUUCACUGGCCUUUGGAAGAGAUGUUCCCACUAGGCUGUAAGAGCACUGUGCAGAGCGUGUUCUUUCUUAGCUUCCCAAAGAGCUGGAAGCAAGAUGCUGUGGGGCCCAACUCGCCCUUUGGAAAGAAGCCUGCACGGUGUGCCUUUCAGCUCUAGGGCAAAGUAGCACACCCAGAGCAGAAGUCCUACUUCAGCCAGAUCAGGCCUGCAAAGAAACUGCGUUUCACAGGCCUUUGGAAGAGGUGUUCCCGGUAGGCUGUAAGAGCACUGAGCAGAGCGAGUUGUUUCUUAGCUUCCCAAAGAGCUGGAAGCAAGAUGCUGUGGGGCCCAACUCGCCCUUUGGAAAGAAGCCUGCACGUUGUGCCUUUCAGCUCUAGGGCAAAGUAGCACACCCAGAGCAGAAGUCCUACUUCAGCCUGAUCAGGCCUGCAAAGAAACUGCG
This 3270-nucleotide long non-coding RNA is filed under the name Equus caballus (horse). RNAcentral's name for it is "lncRNA (ENSECAG00000047676.1)". Lineage: Eukaryota; Metazoa; Chordata; Mammalia; Perissodactyla; Equidae. The record is from RNAcentral.